Hylaeus volcanicus is the source of this 2811-nucleotide RNA transcript. It is a transcript of the gene named ubiquitin-conjugating enzyme E2Q-like protein 1, with no coding region annotated. The record is from RefSeq and is a predicted model, not a curated record. NCBI's taxonomy places the organism in Eukaryota, Metazoa, Arthropoda, Insecta, Hymenoptera, Colletidae. The transcript has 4 exons.
CUCGCAUCUGAUGCACAGCUUUUUCACAGAUUAUAUUUAUCCCCUGAAACACUAAGUGUCGUACGUUACCGUCAUUAAAAUGUUUUGGAAGCAAUUGGACGCGUCUUCACGGAGGAACCCUUAAUCAUCGCACAGGAAAGGAGCAACAAAAGAGAUUGUUGAGUCAUGUCUACGAGAUCAAAGGAGAAGGUUGUAGCCGCUUUUCGGAAAAUUUUUAGACCGUCCGAAAAAAUUUCGGAACAGGAAGCGGCGAGCAGUUCGACAAGCUCUCCUUCGAGAAGGCUUCUGAGCCGGCAUCAUCGUCCCGAUGCAGUUACCCCAUCUGAUGGCGCGUUACCUGAAAAUUCAGGCGCCAGCAACUCAAACCAUGGAAGUUGCUUCUUUAAAUCCAAGAAAACCACUGGCAACUCGACUCAGGGUGCUGUUGUAAUACCAGACAAGAGGGUUCGUUUACGGCGACUAAUGAAGGAGCUCAGCGAGAUUCAGAGGACGCAGCACCGGCACGAGUCGACCUUCACCGCGGAGCUGGUGAAUGACAAUUUGUUCGAGUGGCACGUGAGACUGCACAAAAUCGAUCCAGAGAGUGCACUGGCGGCUGACAUGAUAGAGCUCAACAUACCUUACAUACUUCUCCAUAUCGUAUUCCCGGAAAAUUUUCCGUUCGCACCACCCUUUAUGCGCGUUAUUUCGCCUCGAAUCGAGAAAGGAUUCGUGAUGGAAGGCGGCGCUAUCUGUAUGGAGCUCCUUACACCCAGGGGGUGGGCUAGCGCGUACACCAUCGAAGCUGUCAUUACGCAAUUUGCCGCCAGCAUCGUUAAAGGACAGGUGAAGUAUUAGUUUCUUUUAAGCGAUCAAUUUGAAACACAGGACCAGUUUUAAGCUUUGAUAUUGAUAUAUUAUACCUUGGGCGAAGGUGGAAGCGGAGGGUAUCCGGGUCGCGUGGCAAGGAAACCAAAGGCAAACAAAGAAUUCAAUAGACGCUCCGCUGAAGAAUCCUUCAGAAGUCUAGUGAAGACCCAUGAGAAGUAUGGUUGGGUCACGCCACCGCUAGCCGAGGGUUGAUCCUUCGGACCGAGGCUGAAACACGAGAAACAUGAUUGUUAUUUAAAGAAGUGAACCGCUGCGUGCAGAGCUUUAUUGGUUUCAUUUCUUUCCCUUUCUGAACGUUCGUGAAAUCGCGUUAUAAUCGCAUUAAAAUUUCCGAUGCUUCUACAGCAAGCACGUUGUACAAUAGUUGAGAAAGGAAUGGAAAACGAUAGCAAGAACAAUAAGGAGUUCUAGAGUUCGUUAACGUGGUUGAAACAAUAGCGAUAAUGUUUGUGGUUGUUCGAUUAUAAAAACAUUAGUCGCUUUUGGGUAAGUGUCGCAUUUAAUUGAUCAAUAUGAAAUUCCUACGACAUUUAUUGUACAUACGAACAGUGAACAUUUCAGACAGACGAGCCUUUUUUUAAAUCUCUAGGUAGUGACCUAAAAAGUAAUAUAUAAAAAAUUCUGUUAAUGUGUUAUGAGAUUGAAUUUUUUUAUCUAUGUUUUUUUUUAUUUCAAGUUACAAAAUUAAUGCUAUUUAGUAAUGUUAUAAAUAUUCUGAAUUUUAUUUAUAAGAAUGGAACUACUAAGAUCAAGAAGAUACAGGAACUCGUUCAAAAAUAAUUAUGAAGAUAGAACUCAGUGGAUAUACGAUAUAAAUUACAUUAUGAAAAGAGAUGCAUACAUAUAUAAGAAUGUAAUACAAUGAUGGCAUAAAUCCAUAGAAACAGAUUUUCAGUACACAGGGUCUUAUACAAAAAGGUGUUACAAACUUUGAAUGGCUGAGUAUAUUAGUUGGCUUAUGAAUUUUCACAGUGCAACUUUUGAGGCUUAUCGUUUUUUUUUUAAAUAAGACAACUGUUUUACAAUUUUACUAGUUUUAUUUUGGUGAGACGCGCUCGCACUUACCAAGACCAUUAUCAAUAUGAACUAUUUUAACAGUUAAUUAAUACUCCAUUUGUCGAUAAACAGUACGUUAUUUUAAUAUGGAUAAAAAUGUCAUGGGAGAUACUUUGCUAAAAUAUAGUCUGAUCAGAGUUAGAAGUAAUUUUCAAUUUCAGCAAUAGAACUAAUGCUAUAAUAUUUUAAAGUAAAUAAAUUAAUUAACAAUUGCAUUUAGUUAAUACUGUUACUAAUAAUUAUUAUUGUAUUAAUUUUGCAUGUAUAAGUUAUAUAAUUAGAACAAAAUCAAGAAUUUUUGAAAGUGUAUGCAAAGCAUGUAUGGAAACGGAAGAAUAUAUAGAAUAUUUUUGUAGACAUUAGGAAGUUACAGCACAAUAAUUUUGUGUUUAAAAAUCAUAUAUGUGACGACUGAAAGCAAACAAGUUACUUAUGUUACUAUAAACCAAAUGUCGUUUUUAACCCUAUCUACAUAGUUUUUAUAAAUUAUUACAGACUAAGUAUAUCUAAUUUAAUUUGAUGAAUAGUAUAUGUUAUCAAAGUCUGUAAACCUUUCUUUUUAAAACUCAGUAAAAAAUGAAAGAUGUAAUCUUUGAAUGUAGCAUUUCACUUAUUUCUUAAAACUUGUCAACAUCUUGUUAGAUCUAAUGUCAUAGAGUUCACAAUACAUUUUUAUAUUAUGAUAGUUUCCAAGGAGAGUAAGAUUAAUUUUAUCCCCUGUUCUACAAGCAACAAUUAACAUGUUUGAAAUGCAACAAAAUGUGAAAUGUAGUAUAAUUUACAGUUUCCUGAAAUUACAAUUAUAUUACCUCAUUUGUAUUAAUACAUAAAAUAUUCUGUAUUUAUUAUAUAGUACUGAAAAUAUAUAUUGCCGUUUUCAUUUGA